ACCUGGACUGUUCUGAUCAAGACUACAGAUUUGCUUCUGCGAUUACAAUGAUACUACAACCGCUCCAGUCGUUUUGAGUAGCACAGUGAGAUAGAAGCAGUAGCUGGAUCUAAUUUGAGCGCUCUGAUACCAAUUUGUCAUGCCUUCAAUGUAUGACAAAGCUGUUUUUGUAUAUUUUUGGUGUUUUCUGAGUUUAUGAACUGAAAUAGCAGCAAAGCAAGUAACAGAACAGUAGAUUAUAGCUAGAUAGAGAUGAAUUAGGGCAGAGAGAUGUAGAAAUGAGAGAGAGAGAGAUCAGAUCAGGAGAGAGAGACAGAGUUUAGAGAGAGAAAGAGAGGGAAAAUCAGUUAGAGAAGAGAGAGAGAAACUUGGAAGAGAAGUUUUGUAUUUCAUAAUAUGCAUAAUACCAGCACACAAGUCUAUUUAUAGCUAACACAGAAUAGAAUGACUAAAAGACAUUCUUGCCCUGCACUUGUACUUAAUAUGCU
This 488-nucleotide long non-coding RNA is filed under the name Daucus carota (carrot). Its description in RNAcentral is "long non-coding RNA (DCAR_LNC006063)". The record is from RNAcentral. Lineage: Eukaryota; Viridiplantae; Streptophyta; Magnoliopsida; Apiales; Apiaceae.